UCGAUCUGAAAGUUGGAAUUUGUUUUUUAAUUUUUUUGAAUUGUUUGCGUUGCUUUUGCAGGAAUUCAGUGUCGGGACAAAGGAGACGCUUGAUUACACUGCAUCGUGACUGACGAUUUAAGGAAGCUUUUAUCCGUUGUUGACUCAAGAAGAAAAGGAAAUUCUUGAAAGAUCGUCAGUAAAACAAAAAAAAAAAAAUUAAACAUAGGUAUCAAUUGAAUAAACAUCUCACCUUGGCUUCGAAGAAAUUCUUAGCUCCGGUCACGCCAACCUCGUCAACGUCCACCUCCGUAAGUCUGGCGAGUUGUCCCAGUCCGGAGUCUGACUCAAGCUCACCUGCUCGCGCUUUGCGGUAGAUCAGCAGAAACUG
Long non-coding RNA from Nasonia vitripennis (jewel wasp), 370 nucleotides. RefSeq lists it as uncharacterized. NCBI's taxonomy places the organism in Eukaryota, Metazoa, Arthropoda, Insecta, Hymenoptera, Pteromalidae. The transcript is spliced from 2 exons. The record is from RefSeq and is a predicted model, not a curated record.